This 253-nucleotide ribosomal RNA is filed under the name uncultured bacterium. Its description in RNAcentral is "partial 16S ribosomal RNA". It matches the Rfam family "Bacterial small subunit ribosomal RNA", at positions 524 to 776 of the family's 1533-position model. The record is from RNAcentral.
UACGUAGGGUGCAAGCGUUGUCCGGAAUCAUUGGGCGUAAAGCGCGCGUAGGUGGCUUCGUAAGUCCGUUGUGAAAGUCAAAGGCUCAACCUUUGAAUGCCGAUGGAUACUGCGAAGCUAGAGUACGGAAGAGGCGAGUGGAAUUCCUGGUGUAGCGGUGAAAUGCGCAGAUAUCAGGAGGAACACCGGUGGCGAAGGCGGGUCUCUGGGCCGAUACUGACGCUGAGGAGCGAAAGCGUGGGGAGCGAACGGG